GCCCGAGUGGUGGAAUGGCAGACACGCGGGACUCAAAAUCCCGUGGGGAUAAUACCCCGUGUGGGUUCGACUCCCACCUCGGGCA
This 85-nucleotide transfer RNA is filed under the name Gemmatimonadales bacterium. Its description in RNAcentral is "tRNA-Leu". It matches the Rfam family "tRNA". Rfam says of the family: Transfer RNA (tRNA) molecules are approximately 80 nucleotides in length. Lineage: Bacteria; Pseudomonadati; Gemmatimonadota; Gemmatimonadia; Gemmatimonadales. The record is from RNAcentral.